GGGAGAAGCACAGUCUUCGUUUUACUAAGAGCUGAGGAAUUAGGGGAAGGUGGGAGUUUGGGGAAGACGGAGGAGAAGCUGAAGGAAUCGGGCUUCCAACAAUGGCGGUGUGCCCGGAUUUGAAAUGCAAUCAGGGAGCACAGCACAACGGCUGGUGUAUGUUCAAUAACUACUGCUGACUGGUAUCUACUGAGACAAGAGAGCAGCCCAGCCUGUUGUGCAGAGUACAGAAUGUUCUCUUCUGUGAACUAAGCUUGAACUUUUCCAACCCACUUUGUUUGAGGAACCAUACAGACACAGAGGGGAAAAAACAGGGAAGAUAACCCCCAAAUUGUUGAAAUCGUUGUGUUCUCUCUGAUUUUGGCCCUGAUCAUUUGCUUUUCACUGCUCGAAAUUAAAAAUCCCAAGCAUUAAAAUUCUUGGAAGAACAAAAUGCCUGUGAUGUCCUUUCUCUGAGUCAGUGCUCCGGCUUCCACACUGGAAAGGAACAAGUCUGUCACCACCUCUCCUAGAUUUCUUUCUUUCUUCCUUUCUUUUUUUCCUCUAAGGCAUUCAAGCGACAAAAAUACAGCAAAAAACAUUUUCCUGUAGGGAAAGGAAAGGCCUCCAGUGUGUGGAUUUCUUUCAGGUUACCAACAGUGGUCCCCAAUUUACUGAAUGUCCUGAGGAAAUUGACAGUAUAAGGGUUUUAGGUCAUUAGAUGUUGCUGUUCAGUCGAUCAGUCAUGUCCGACUCUUUGCAACCCCAGGGACUGCAGCACAACAGGCCUCUCUGUACCUCCUGAAGGUAGGUAAUCUCCCCAAGUUUGCCCAAGCUCAUGUCCAUUGCAUCAGAAUGCCAUCCAGCCAUUCAUCCUCUGAUGCCCUCUUCUUCUGCCCUCAAUCUUUCCCAGUAUCAGGGACUU
This is a long non-coding RNA of Bubalus bubalis (water buffalo), 904 nucleotides long. RefSeq lists it as uncharacterized. The transcript is spliced from 3 exons. NCBI's taxonomy places the organism in Eukaryota, Metazoa, Chordata, Mammalia, Artiodactyla, Bovidae. The record is from RefSeq and is a predicted model, not a curated record.